UGGGGAAUAUUGGUCAAUGGGCGGGAGCCUGAACCAGCCAAGCCGCGUGAAGGAAGAAGGCGCCAGGCGUCGUAAACUUCUUUUGUCGGGGAACAAAGGGCGCCACGCGUGGCGUUGUGAGUGUACCCGAAGAAAAAGCAUCGGCUAACUCCGUGCC
This 157-nucleotide ribosomal RNA is filed under the name uncultured bacterium. Its description in RNAcentral is "partial 16S ribosomal RNA". It matches the Rfam family "Bacterial small subunit ribosomal RNA", at positions 355 to 509 of the family's 1533-position model. The record is from RNAcentral.